GAGUCGAGAAGUCACAGGGCUCUAUCCCAGAGGGGCUGUGGAGGACGGUGUGGAAGGGAGAACGAGAGCACUUGGAACACAGAUGCUAUGACUGAGAAGCAGCAGUCAUCUUGUAAACAUGAGGACUGGAACAUACUUGCUAUAGAUAGCAGAGAAAGAAGAGAAAAGUAGUCUGAGUCCUGUGUGGCAUGAUUGAGCCAUUCGACCAUUGCUGGAUGUCCUGUCUUGUUGUGGGAAAUAA
Molecule: long non-coding RNA, 241 nt
Organism: Physeter macrocephalus (sperm whale)
Lineage: Eukaryota; Metazoa; Chordata; Mammalia; Artiodactyla; Physeteridae
Exons: 3
Source: RefSeq, a predicted model, not a curated record